AGACCCGAAACCCGGUGAUCUAGCCAUGGGCAGGUUGAAGGUUGGGUAACACUAACUGGAGGACCGAACCGACUAAUGUUGAAAAAUUAGCGGAUGACCUGUGGCUGGGGGUGAAAGGCCAAUCAAACCGGGAGAUAGCUGGUUCUCCCCGAAAGCUAUUUAGGUAGCGCCUCGUGAAUUCAUCUCCGGGGGUAGAGCACUGUUUCGGCUAGGGGGCCAUCCCGGCUUACCAACCCGAUGCAAACUGCGAAUACCGGAGAAUGUUAUCACGGGAGACACACGGCGGGUGCUAACGUCCGUCGUGAAGAGGGAAACAACCCAGACCGCCAGCUAAGGUCCCAAAGUCAUGGUUAAGUGGGAAACGAUGUGGGAAGGCCCAGACAGCCAGGAUGUUGGCUUAGAAGCAGCCAUCAUUUAAAGAAAGCGUAAUAGCUCACUGGUCGAGUCGGCCUGCGCGGAAGAUGUAACGGGGCUAAACCAUGCACCGAAGCUGCGGCAGCGACGCUUAUGCGUUGUUGGGUAGGGGAGCGUUCUGUAAGCCUGUGAAGGUGGCCUGUGAGGGUUGCUGGAGGUAUCAGAAGUGCGAAUGCUGACAUAAGUAACGAUAAAGCGGGUGAAAAGCCCGCUCGCCGGAAGACCAAGGGUUCCUGUCCAACGUUAAUCGGGGCAGGGUGAGUCGACCCCUAAGGCGAGGCCGAAAGGCGUAGUCGAUGGGAAACGGGUUAAUAUUCCCGUACUUGGUGUUACUGCGAAGGGGGGACGGAGAAGGCUAUGUUGGCCGGGCGACGGUUGUCCCGGUUUAAGCGUGUAGGUGUGUGUUCCAGGUAAAUCCGGUUCACUUUAACACUGAGGCGUGAUGACGAGGCACUACGGUGCUGAAGUAACAAAUGCCCUGCUUCCAGGAAAAGCCUCUAAGCAUCAGGUAACAUCAAAUCGUACCCCAAACCGACACAGGUGGUCAGGUAGAGAAUACCAAGGCGCUUGAGAGAACUCGGGUGAAGGAACUAGGCAAAAUGGUGCCGUAACUUCGGGAGAAGGCACGCUGACACGUAGGUGAAGUGAUUUACUCAUGGAGCUGAAGUCAGUCGAAGAUACCAGCUGGCUGCAACUGUUUAUUAAAAACACAGCACUGUGCAAACACGAAAGUGGACGUAUACGGUGUGACGCCUGCCCGGUGCCGGAAGGUUAAUUGAUGGGGUCAGCGCAAGCGAAGCUCCUGAUCGAAGCCCCGGUAAACGGCGGCCGUAACUAUAACGGUCCUAAGGUAGCGAAAUUCCUUGUCGGGUAAGUUCCGACCUGCACGAAUGGCGUAAUGAUGGCCAGGCUGUCUCCACCCGAGACUCAGUGAAAUUGAACUCGCUGUGAAGAUGCAGUGUACCCGCGGCAAGACGGAAAGACCCCGUGAACCUUUACUAUAGCUUGACACUGAACAUUGAGCCUUGAUGUGUAGGAUAGGUGGGAGGCUUUGAAGUGUGGACGCCAGUCUGCAUGGAGCCGACCUUGAAAUACCACCCUUUAAUGUUUGAUGUUCUAACGUGGACCCGUUA
This 1547-nucleotide ribosomal RNA is filed under the name Salmonella enterica. RNAcentral describes it as "partial 23S ribosomal RNA". It matches the Rfam family "Bacterial large subunit ribosomal RNA", at positions 711 to 2238 of the family's 2925-position model. Lineage: Bacteria; Pseudomonadati; Pseudomonadota; Gammaproteobacteria; Enterobacterales; Enterobacteriaceae. The record is from RNAcentral.